GCCAGGCAUGGUGGCACAGAUCUGUAAUCCCAGCCACUUGGGAGGCUGAGGCAAGAGAAUCACAAGAUCAAGGCCAGCCUGGGUGACUUAGUGAGAUCCUGUCUCAA
RNAcentral lists this small RNA (107 nucleotides) under Marmota monax (woodchuck). Lineage: Eukaryota; Metazoa; Chordata; Mammalia; Rodentia; Sciuridae. The record is from RNAcentral.